UACGGAGGGAGCUAGCGUUGUUCGGAAUUACUGGGCGUAAAGCGUAGCGUAGGCGGUUAUUCAAGUCAGAGGUGAAAGCCCGGGGCUCAACCCCGGAACUGCCUUUGAAACUAGAUAGCUAGAAUCUUGGAGAGGUCAGUGGAAUUCCGAGUGUAGAGGUGAAAUUCGUAGAUAUUCGGAAGAACACCAGUGGCGAAGGCGGACUGACUGGACAAGUAUUGACGCUGAGGUACGAAAGCGUGGGGAGCAAACAGG
Molecule: ribosomal RNA, 255 nt
Filed under: uncultured bacterium
Lineage: Bacteria
Description: partial 16S ribosomal RNA
Rfam family: Bacterial small subunit ribosomal RNA
Source: RNAcentral